RNAcentral lists this non-coding RNA (21 nucleotides) under Arabidopsis thaliana (thale cress). Lineage: Eukaryota; Viridiplantae; Streptophyta; Magnoliopsida; Brassicales; Brassicaceae. The record is from RNAcentral.
CAAACCUCGUGCCCACAUUAU